AAUGACAUCAAAUUAGAGCAAUUUAUUAUGGAAAAUUCCGAAAGCAAGGAGAGGUGUUGCAUCUCAUCUGGGAGAGAAAUUAAACCCCUACAACACCUAAUCUGCAGAUAUCGAAGAGAAGAGAGGUGUUGGAUACUCCUUGGCAAUGAGGUUAACUCUGGACAUUCAUUAAUAAGUAAGUCUUGGAGUGAAGUCAGAUAUCGCAUCCCCUCAGGUAAAGAGGCUAAUGUCUUACAAUGUUGAACCCGCAGUGAACACAAGGAAGAUAAGCGUUGCAAUCCAUUUACCGGAAGCGAUACAAGGCUGUCACAAAAAUUUAAAUCCAAAGUUUCUAAGGAGCUGAGGUUUUGAAGUCCUGCAGGCAAGCUUUCAAUUGAGCAAGCUUGAAUAUCCAAGUAUUUAAGGCAGGAUAGAUUAUCCAGCAGAUCAGAUGAAGACUUUAGACUACAAUAAAAAACAUUCAACCUAUCAAGUUGCUUUUGAUUUUUUAGUAGUUCAUCCGGUAACUCGUUGAAGUCGCUAAUCCGGAGAGAGGUAAGAACAGUGGCAUUCAUAAUCAAAGAUGUGAGUAAAGUAACAUUAGUUUCUCCAAUAUGUAGCUCUUUUAGAGAUUGAAUCAUUGGCAGUUUAACCAAUUUAGGACAACAAUCGACAGUUAAUGAACUCAGGAGAGGAAAAUGUUCUCUACCAUUCACUGUUGUCCAUUCCUCCAAACAUAGCGCCACACGUAUGCUGAGAACCUCGAGUGAUGGAAAAGAACUUUCCAUAUCACCAUAGAAGGUGUCGUCAAUAUACUUCAGAGCACUAAUUCUACAAAUAUUAAGGACCUUAAGGAAGCGCAAUUUCCCUAGAGGUGGUAGCUGAUGGCAUCUUUCACAGUUUCCUAGUGAGAUUUCAACAUGGUUUGGUAGAAGCAGAUCCAUCAUCCAAUAUGGAAACAUCAAACCUUGGUAACCAAUUAUGCGUAACUUGAAGGUUGAAUGAGGUUGGAGAGCACAAAGAAUCUCUUUAUCAUUUUGAUGAUGAGAGUUACUCGUUGCGAUUUCCUCGCCAAGAUAAGCUAAGUGAUCUUAAUUGUGCUUCUUUAUCAAAUUUGCCUUUUUAGCUUCCAUCGCACUCUUCACGUUGGUUAGUCCUUUGAUGCUCAGUUCCCCCUCUAGGGCCAACUCUUUCAACUCAUCAAUGCCGCAACCAUCUUUCUUUCCCAAAAUGAAUAUGCUAAGCUUGCGCAAAAAAGACAAUUGUCCCAAUGCAACAGGCAUAGAAGUUAGUGUAUGGCAACCUCUGAUGUCCAAGUACCUAAGAUUUUUCAAGUUCUUCGUACCUUUGGGUAACAUUUUAUGACUGCCACAAUCUUUGAGGCUUAGUGUCUGCAAGUUAAGAAGAGAGCUUGUUGAUUCAGGUAAAGUUUUCACAGUAGAAUUGUGAAGGUACAGAUACCUCAAGUGUUUCGAAAUUUUAAAUUCAAUAUUGCUCAUAUAAAAACCCAAAUGCAACACCUUGAGAUACUUUUGUUUACUGAUGAAACGGGAAGGAUUAGAGUGGUUAAAGUAACCAUCGCCGCAUAGGAUCAAAGAUUGCAGCUGCUGCAAUGUGGUUAAGUCCAUAAUGUUUGUCGAUGGACUGAUAUUAUAAUGAUAAACAAACAAGUGAGGAGCAGUUUUUGGAAUUUGUGACAUCUCAUUUGGCUCAAUCACACAGCACUCUUGUCUCAUAAUCGAUGUUGCAAGAUCAUGGAUGAGAUCAUGCAUUUUACAUGCAACAGUUCCAUCAACAUCCUCUUCAAUUUCUUGAAAAAAGGACCUCCAAGUUAAUUCAGAGAAUAUUUCACAACCCAUAUCAUGCAAAUCCAAUGCUCCUCGAGAAGGAAUAAAUCCAUUUGCCAUCCAUAGUGCUAAAAGCUUGUCCUUCGUCAUGACAGAAUCUUUGGGAAAUAUCGAGCAAAAUGAAAAACAUUGUCUCAUAUACGGUGGAAGAUGUUCAUGACUUAGCCUCAACACAGCUAUGAUUCUGCUUCCCUCAUCUUCCAAAUCCCAUAUCUUGACUUCUAAAACGAAAUAUGCUUCCCAUGGCCUUAAUUGCCAACGGUACGCCUCCACAUCUCUGCACUACUUGCCUCCCAAUGGUUUCCAGGUUCGCGUUGCUUCCGUUCGUUCCCAUACCAAAGGAUCUUUGCUUGAAUAAAGACUUAAGAUCGUUGCAUUAGUUAGAUACCUUUUCUAAUAAAUAUCCUAUGGAGUCUUUACUAAUUUUUUCAUAACAUAUAUACCCUAUUCUUACCAUUUACAUGAUCAAUGAAAUCCAAUUCCAAAUAUUGAAAUCCAUGUACCCUACCGUGCUUAAAAGAAUUCGAAAAGUCUAAUAAUAUUAAAAAGGGUUAUAAAAUAAAAAAUUUCAUUAUAAUUUUUCGUAUAAUUUUAUUAAAAGAUUAUUUACGUUCCAAUAAAUAAUUAAAAAAUUGGGACAUAUAUUUGAGUAUGACUCAAUAUGAUAAUACUUGAGUCUAAAAUAAUCUAAAGGAAAAACUACACAUGGUGUGAUUCAAACUCGACACAUCAAAGCCUCAGCACCUCAACCUUUAUCAACGAAGCGACCAAUAACAUGCCUAUGCACAUAUAUAUAUAUAUAAUAGAGUUUAACAAAGUUACGUGUGAUGAGCAUAAGAAGUUAGAAACUAAAAUUAUUUGCCAUCUAUUUAUUCAUACCUGCUCUUAUUGGGGGAUAGAAUUGGUCUGCGAAUUUAAUGCAAUCUUGUCUUUUUUCUUCAAAUUGCAAAAUAGAUCCUCGAAUUUAACAAAAGUUGUCACUCACCAAUCCUGAAAAUGUAUUUAGACAAUCAUAUCAUAAAUUCAUCAAAUGAAAACUAUUAAUAAUAGAUAUGAAUGAAAUGAUCCUGCAGAUGCAGAGAUCCUUAUUCACAAAAAUGUAAAUGUCAAAUCCUUUUUACAUAAUUCUUGAAUAUGAUUCAAAUUAAGAAUUUUCUUAUUUAAAAUUAAAAUUCAAAAGUAGAGAAUCACCUGGUUAGAGAUUUCAAUGGACGGAAUGUGGGCUAUGUUGGGCCAAUCCUCUCCUCUCCCUUUCUUACACCGUCGUUUCAGGUGGGGGCAUCCUCUGAUUCUUAGUUUUUUCAGAGCAUUGAGGUUACGUACCCCUUGGGGCAAUGACAUCAAAUUAGAGCAACUCCUUAUCUCCAAUAAUGAAAGCAGGUUGAGGUGUUGUAUCUCAUCUGGGAGAGAAAUUAAACCUCUACAAGACCAAAUCCGCAGACUUUGAAGAGAAGAGAGGUGUUGGAUACUCCUUGGCAAUGAGGUCAACUCUGGACAUCCAUUAAUAAGUAAGUCUUGGAGUGAAGUCAGAUAUCCCACACCCUCAGAUAAAGAGGCUAAUGUCUUACAAUUUUGAAUCUGUAGUGAAGAUAAGGAAGAUAAGCCUUGCAAUCCAUUUACCGGAAGGGAUACAAGGCUGUCACAACAAUUUAAAAACAAAGUUUUUAAAGAGCUGAGGUUUUGUAGUCCUGCAGGCAAGCUUUCAAUUGAGCAACCUUGAAUAUCCAAGUAUUUAAGGCGGGAUAGAUUAUCCAGCAGAUCGGAUGAAGACUUUAGACUACAAGAAAGAACAUUCAACGAAUCAAGUUGCUUUUGAUUUUGCAGUAGUCCAUCCGGUAACUCGUUGAAGCCACUAAUCACGAGAGAGGUAAGAACAGUGGCAUUCAUAAUCAAAGGUGCGAGUAAAGUAACAUUAGUUCCUCUAAUAUGUAGCUGUUUUAGAGAUUGAAUCAUUGGCAGUUUAACCAACUUAGGACAAGAUUCGAUAGUUAAUGAACUCAGGAGAGGAAAAUGUUCUCUACCAUUCACUGUUGUCCAUUCCUCCAAACAUAGCGCCACACGUAUGCUGAGAACCUCGAGUGAUGGAAAAGAACUUUCCAUAUCACCAUAGAAGGUGUCGUCAAUAUACUUCAGAGCACUAAUUCUACAAAUAUUAAGGACCUUAAGGAAGCGCAAUUUCCCUAGAGGUGGCAGCUGAUGGCAUCUUUCACAGUUUUCUAGUGAGAUUUCAACAAGGUUUGGUAGAAGCAGAUCCAUCAUCCAAUACGGAAACAUCAAACCUUGGUAAUCAAUUAUACGUAACUUCUUCAAGUUUGAAUGAGGUUGGAGAGCACUAAGAAUCUCUUCAUCAUUUUGAUGAUGAGAGCUCUUGUUGCUGCUUAAUCGCCAAGAUAAGCUAAGUGAUCUUAAAUUGUGCUUCUUUAUCAAAUUUGCAUUUCUAGCUUCCAUUGAACUCUUCACGUUGUGAAGUCCUUUGAUGCUCAAUUCCCCCUCUAGGGCCAACCCCUUCAACUCAUCAAUGCCGCAACCAUCUUCCUUUCCCACAAUGAACAUGCUAAGCUUGCGCAAAAAAGACAGUUGUCCCAAUGCAACAGGCAUAGAAGUUAGUGCAUCGCAAUUUCUGAUGUCCAAGUACCUAAGAUUUUUCAAGUUCUUCGUACCUUUGGGUAACAUUUGAAGAUUGUAACAAUCUCCUAGGUUUAGUGUCUGCAAGUUAUGAAGAAAGCUUGUUGAUUCAGGUAAAGUUUUCACAUGAGAACCGUGAAGGCAAAGAUACCUCAAGUGUUUCGAACUUUUAAAUGCAAUAUUGCUACUAUUAAAACCCAUAUCCAACACCUUGAGAUACUUUUGUUUACUGAUGUAACGGGAAAGAUUAGAAAAGUUAAUGUCAUAGCCAUGUAGGAUCAAAGAUUGCAGCGGUUGCAAUGUGGUGAAGUCCAUAACGUUUGUCGAUCGACUGCUAUUAUAAACAAACAAGUGACGAGCAGUUUUUGGAAUCUGUGACCCCUCAGUUGCCUCAAUCACACAGCACUCUUGUCCCAUAAUCGAUGUUGCGAGAUCAUGGAUGAGAUCAUGCAUUUUACAUGUAACAGUUCCAUCAACAUCCUCUUUGAUUUCUUGAAAAAAGGAUCUCCAAGUUAAUUCAGAGAAUAUUUCACAACCCAUAUCAUGCAAAUCCAAUGCUCCUCGAGAAGGUAUAAAUCCAUUUGCCAUCCAUAGUCCUAUAAGCUUAUUCUUUUCCAUGACAAAAGCUUUGGGAAAUAUCGAGCAAAAUGAAAAACAUUGUCUCAUAUACGGUGGAAGAUGGUCAUAACUUAGCCUCAGCACAGCUAAGAUUCUGCUUCCCUUAUCUUCCAAAUCCCAUAUCUCACUAUCUUUGACACGUAACCAUUCACUUUCUUGACUUCUAAAACGCAAUAUGCUCCCUAUGGCCUUAAUUGCCAAUGGUACACCUCCACAUCUCUGUACUAUUCGCCUCCCAAUGGUUUCCAGGUUCGCGUUGCUUCCAUUCAUUCCCAUCCCAAAGGCUCUUUGCUUGAACAAAGACCAAGAAUCAUCAUCCGACAAACAUCCCAAGCGAUAGAAAGGAGUUGUAGCCAUCAUAAGAGCAACAUUCUCGAGUCGAGUAGUGACAAUCACCGUACUUCCUUUCCGUCCACACUGUAAAGCUUGUUUUAAUCUAUCCCACUUGUCAUGGUACUCAUUCCACACAUCAUCUAGUACGAGCAUAAACCGUUUCCCAAGAAGCUUCUCUGCUAAACACCGCUGCAGGGUAUCUAGCUCUUGGAUACCACACGAGUUCCCUCCGAAGGAUUCCACAAUCGCUUUAGUCAACCUUUUUAUAUCAAAAUCAUCAGAUACACACACCCAACCUCUCAAAUCGAAGACUUUCGCCACGUUUUCGUCAUUGAAAACCAAUUGAGCGAUUGUUGUCUUACCAAGACCCCCCAUUCCGCAUAUUGCAUAAACAGAGAGGUCAUCAUGGUGACUCUCAUUACAAAGUAACAUACUAACUAUCUUUUCCUUCUCAUCAGCUCUGCCAAGUACUUCCGAUUCUUUCACAAGGGAGCUGGUUUGCCUAUCCUCAUUCCGUUCAAUUUCAGCUUCUCCCACACCCUCUCUCAAGUGGAACUUACUUUUCUCCCCAGCAAUGGCAUCUAAUUUCUCCCUUACAUUCUUAAACUUACGUGCCACAUCUAAGCGAAACGAGAGCGGAUUCCGCAAAGAAAAGAAGGUGGUUACCUGGCUUCUUGCAUCCGUAUGCAGGCUACGACUUAGAGCUUCGGUGUUGAAAUCUUCGAGCACAGCUUCCAGAUCGUAAGCUGCUUGUUUGAGCUUCACAAGCCAGUUCUUGAUAGCUUCACUCUUCCAUUGCUUCUCCUCUGCAUCUUGGAGCACAGCUUGGAUUGUAGUAAGCGUACUUUCAAGACUCGCAACUUCUGUUUUGAGGCUCCCAGCAAGUUCCAGUUCUUUCAAGGACCACGACUUCAAGCCGUCCAAGAUGGUACCGACAAGGGGUGAAAGUAAUACCUCUGUCAUGUCCUAUCUCUCUUAAAAUUUCACAACCAGCAAAGGAGCAAUUGGUAACUAAGGAACCAACUAUGGAUAUUCAAAGACAAAGAAAGAAACAAUUUCACAUAAAUUGGGAUCAGCCUGAAAGAGUAAACAAAGAAAAGCUACUGUUUCCAGUUAGGGUUAGAAUGGGUUGGAUUGACUUGAGCUUGCAUGCAUAAUUGCAUAUGAACCAAACUUUUGACUAUGGCAAUAAAGUAUGUGGAAAAAAAUGAAAGGAAGUAGGAACCAUUGCAAAUAAUGCAUAUGCGUGUAGGACCAAGUGUCAAGAAUAAUAAAAUCCAUUAAAAGAUAUAAGAUGGUGAAUGCAAUUGCCAACAAAGUACAACAUUUAAUAUUAAGUUGAUAAGUUCAAUGAUAGAGCAAAUUAAAAUAUUUUUCAUAUUUUAUUAUUUUUAAAAUUUUAAAUAUAAAUUUUUAUGAUUUUUAAAGGGUUAAAAGGGUAAGCUUAUUUUUAAAAGGACUAAAUUGUAAAUUUCAAGGUGCUUAUUUUACGGUCAAAUUUGCUUCUGAAUAUUAUCUUGGAUUUUAUAAAUAAAUCUUGUAAAAUUUUAUUAAUAUCUAUCAAUGGAAUGAUCAGCAAAGAGACGAAUAUUCACUAAAAAGUACAACUUUUAUAAAAGCUUAUCUUGUGUUGAUUUUAACUCAAAAUAUAGGGUCAAUUCUUUCAAUUUAUUAAAAUUUGAGAUUUAAUCUAGUUUAAAAAGUUAUUAUUUUUACUUUUUAAAUUAAAAAAUUAAUUUAAUGAUGGAUACAAUUAUUAUUUUUCAUUAAAUAUCAUAUCUUAUUUCAUAAAAAUAACAUAAUCAACAUAAUAAAAUUCUAAGUUUUGGGAAAAAAAUAGUUGCCUUUCUUGUUCGAUAAUAUGUUUGUGUUAAGCUAAUUUAGAAGAAAAAUAAAUAAAAUCCAAAGACAAGCUUAGAAGUAUGAUUAGCAAUUGCCGUAUAAUGCUUUGAAAUUUUUGGUUGAGGAGUAUCUUCAAGGGAACCCAUUAUGGUUGCAGUACAUAAAAGUUCCAUUGGUGACGUUGGGGUAUGAAACGAGUUACGAUAUAUUCGUGAAAGCUCAUGCAGGUGGGAUUUCAGGAUAGGCACAAGUAAUCACACUCGGCAUUGGUCGUGCAUUGCUGAAGGUGAGUGCCGAUCGUAGGAGCCCAUUGAAGAAAGAAGGGCUUUUGACCAGAGAUUCGAGGGUGGUGGAGAGGAAGAAAGUUGGUCUCAAGAAGGCUCGUAAAGCUCCACAAUUUUCCAAACGUUAAGUGGAUGGAAAACUGGGGAUAUAUAUACAUUGCUUUCAUGGUUGGUUUGUAGAAAAUCUUUUCUUCUCACUAACAUUUGUUGAUGAAUUUUUUUUACAAAAUUCUAAAUUGUAGAAGAACCCCUUUUGAUAAUACAGAUCUUGUUCUUGAUUGGUUGUGCUUAUGAACAUUUCUCUUGCAUUUCAUGUGAGGAAUGUUGAUCCUCAGUCUAUUGUUACUUAAUGGGUAAAAGUAUGAUUGUGGCAUAUUAUCAAUAAGUAAAUUGAUUUUCUUUUUAUUAAAAAUUUAUUCGUUUCAACUGUCGAGUCAAAUUUUAUCAUUAAGUGCAUUUAAAAUAACUUCACCUACAUGAAAUUUGUGUAAUGCAAUUGACAAAACAAUACUAUCCAAAGGGCCAUUAAUUAAGAUUCACAUAUAAUGAAACUUAAGCCUAAAACAAUCUAAAAAGGAAAUCAAAACCCCAACAGCUCAACCUUUGUCAACAAAACCACCACCAACAUGCUUAUGCACAGAUACAUAAUAGAGUUCAACAAAGUUAUGUGUGAUGACCAUAAAAAGUUAGAAGCUAUAAUUAUUUGCCAUCUAUUUAUUCUUACCUACUCUUAUGGGGGAUAGAAGUGGUUUAUGAACUUAAUGCAAUGUUUCUUUUUCUUUUUGAAAUCGCAGAAUAGAUCAUAGAAUUUAACAAAAUUCCUCACUCACCAAUGUUGCUUUGUUUGAAAAUGUAUUUAGAUAAUUAUAUCCCAGAUUCAUCAAAUGAAAACUAUUAAUAAUAUAUAUGAAUGGAUGAUAAGUUGAUAACCGCAGAUGUAAAGAUCCUUAUUCACAAAAAUGUAAUGCUCAAAUCCUUUUUACAUAACUCUUGAAUGUGAUUCAAACUAAGAAUAUUCUUAUUUAAAAGUAAAAUUCAAAAGUAGAGAAUCACCUAGUUAAGGAUUUCAAUGAAUGGAAUGUGGGCUAUGUUGGGCCAAUCUUCUCCUCUCACUUUCUUACAUCGUCUUUGCAGAUGGGGGCAUCCAUAGAUCCUUAGCGCUUGUAGCGUAGUGAGGUUAUGAACCCCUUGGGGCAAUGACAUCAAAUUAGAGCAAUUUAUUAUGGAAAAUUCCGAAAGCAAGGAGAGGUGUUGCAUCUCAUCUGGGAGAGAAAUUAAACCCCUACAACACCUAAUCUGCAGAUAUCGAAGAGAAGAGAGGUGUUGGAUACUCCUUGGCAAUGAGGUUAACUCUGGACAUUCAUUAAUAAGUAAGUCUUGGAGUGAAGUCAGAUAUCGCAGUCCCUAAGAUAAAGAGGCUUAUGUCUUACAAUGUUGAACCCGCAGUGAACACAAGGAAGAUAAGCGUUGCAAUCCAUUUACCGGAAGCGAUACAAGGCUGUCACAAAAAUUUAAAUCCAAAGUUUCUAAGGAGCUGAGGUUUUGAAGUCCUGCAGGCAAGCUUUCAAUUGAGCAAGCUUGAAUAUCCAAGUAUUUAAGGCAGGAUAGAUUAUCCAGCAGAUCAGAUGAAGACUUUAGACUACAAUAAAAAACAUUCAACCUAUCAAGUUGCUUUUGAUUUUUUAGUAGUUCAUCCGGUAACUCGUUGAAGUCGCUAAUCCGGAGAGAGGUAAGAACAGUGGCAUUCAUAAUCAAAGAUGUGAGUAAAGUAACAUUAGUUUCUCCAAUAUGUAGCUCUUUUAGAGAUUGAAUCAUUGGCAGUUUAACCAAUUUAGGACAACAAUCGACAGUUAAUGAAGUCAGGAGAGGAAAAUGUUCUCUACCAUUCACUGUUGUCCAUUCCUCCAAACAUAGCGCCACACGUAUGCUGAGAACCUCGAGUGAUGGAAAAGAACUUUCCAUAUCACCAUAGAAGGUGUCGUCAAUAUACUUCAGAGCACUAAUUCUACAAAUAUUAAGGACCUUAAGGAAGCGCAAUUUCCUUAGAGGUGGUAGCUGAUGGCAUCUUUCACAGUUUGCUAGUGAGAUUUCAACAAGGUUUGGUAGAAGCAGAUCCAUCAUCCAAUACGGAAACAUCAAACCUUGGUAACCAAUUAUGCGUAACUUCUUCAAGGUUGAAUGAGGUUAGAGAGCACAAAAGAACCUCUUCAUCAUUUUGAUGAUGAGAGUUCUCGUUGCGAUUUCCUUGCCAAGAUAAGCUAAGUGAUCUUAAAUUGUGCUUCUUUAUCAAAUUUGCCAUUUUAGCUUCCAUCGCACUCUUCACGUUGGUUAGUCCUUUGAUGCUCAGUUCCCCCUCUAGGGCCAACUCUUUCAACUCAUCAAUGCCGCAACCAUCUUUCUUUCCCAAAAUGAAUAUGCUAAGCUUGCGCAAAAAAGACAAUUGUCCCAAUGCAACAGGCAUAGAAGUUAGUGUAUGGCAACCUCUGAUGUCCAAAUACCUAAGAUUUUUCAAGUUCUUCGUACCUUUGGGUAACAUUUUAAGACUGCCACAAUCUUUGAGGCUUAGUGUCUGCAAGUUAAGAAGAGAGCUUGUUGAUUCAGGUAAAGUUUUCACAGUAGAAUUGUGAAGGUACAGAUACCUCAAUUGUUUCGAAAUUUUAAAUUCAAUAUUGCUCAUAUAAAAACCCAAAUGCAACACCUUGAGAUACUUUUGUUUACUGAUGAAACGUGAAGGAUUAGAGUGGUUAAAGUAACCAUCGCCGCAUAGGAUCAAAGAUUGCAGCGGUUGCAAUGUGGUUAAGUCCAUAAUGUUUGUCGAUGGACUGAUAUUAUAAUUAUAAACAAACAAGUGAGGAGCAGUUUUUGGAAUUUGUGACACCUCAUUUGGCUCAAUCACACAGCACUCGUCUCAUAAUCGAUGUUGCAAGACCAUGGAUGAGAUCAUGCAUUUUACAUGUAACAGUUCCAUCAACAUCCUCUUCAAUUUCUUGAAAAAAGGAAUAAAUCCAUUUGCCAUCCAUAGUGCUAAAAGCUUGUCCUUUGUCAUGACAGAAUCUUUGGGAAAUAUCGAGCAAAAUGAAAAACAUUGUCUCAUAUACGGUGGAAGAUGUUCAUGACUUAGCCUCAACACAGCUAUGAUUCUGCUUCCCUCAUCUUCCAAAUCCCAUAUCUCACUAUCUUUGACAUGUAACCAUUCACUUUCUUGACUUCUAAAACGCAAUAUGCUUCCUAUGGCCUUAACUGCCAACGGUACCACUCCACAUCUCUGCACUAAUUGCCUCCCAGUGGUUUCCAGGUUCGCGUUGCUUCCAUUCAUUCCCAUCCCAAAGGCUCUUUGCUUGAAUAAAGACCAAGAAUCAUCAUCAGACAAACAUCCCAAGCGAUAGAAAGGAGUUGUAGCCAUCAUAAGAGCAGCUUUCUCGAGUCGAGUAGUGACAAUCACCGUACUUCCUACCGUGCAUAAAAGAAUUCGAGAAGUCUAAUAAUAUUAAAAAGGGUGAUAAAAUAAAAAAUGUCAUUAUAAUUUUUCGUAUAAUUUUAUUAAAAUAUUAUUUACGUUCCAAUAAAUAAUUCGAAAAUUGGGACAUAUAUUUGAGUAUGACUCAAUAUGAUAAUACUUAAGUCUAAAAUAAUCUAAAGAAAAAACUACACAUGGUGUGAUUCAAACUCGACACAUCAAAGCCUCAGCACCUCAACCUUUAUCAACGAAGCGACCAAUAACAUGCCUAUGCACAUAUAUAUAUAUAAUAGAGUUUAACAAAGUUACGUGUGAUGAGCAUAAGAAGUUAGAAACUAAAAUUAUUUGCCAUCUAUUUAUUCAUACCUGCUCUUAUUGGGGGAUAGAAUUGGUCUGCGAAUUUAAUGCAAUGUUGUCUUUUUUCUUCAAAUUGCAAAAUAGAUCCUCGAAUUUAACAAAAGUUGUCACUCACCAAUCCUGAAAAUGUAUUUAGACAAUCAUAUCAUAAAUUCAUCAAAUGAAAACUAUUAAUAAUAGAUAUGAAUGAAAUGAUCCUGCAGAUGCAGAGAUCCUUAUUCACAAAAAUGUAAAUGUCAAAUCCUUUUUACAUAAUUCUUGAAUAUGAUUAAAAUUAAGAAUAUUCUUAUUUAAAAUUAAAUUUCAAAAGUAGAGAAUCACCUGGUUAAAGAUGUCAUUGGACGGAAUGUGGACUAUGUUGGGCCAAUCCUCUCCUCUCACUUUCUUACACCGUCUUUCAGGUGGGGGCAUCCUCUGAUUCUUAGUGUUUCCAGAGCAUUGAGGUUACGUACCCCUUGGGGCAAUGACAUCAAAUUAGAGCAACCAUUUAUAUCCAAUAAUGAAAGCAAGGUGAGGUGUUGUAUCUCAUCUGGGAGAGAAAUUAAACCUCUACAAUUCCAAAUCCGCAGGUAUCGAAGAGAAGAGAGGUGCUGAAUACUCCUUGGCAAUGAGGUUAACCUUGGACAUCCAUUAAUAAAUAAGUCUUGGAGAGAAGUCAGAUAUUGCAGCCCCUCAGAUAAAGAGGCUAAUGAAUUACCACUUAGAAUAUACAGUGAAGACAAGGAACAUAAGCCUUGCAAUCCAUUUACCGGAAGGGAUACAAGGCUGUCACAAUCUAAAUCCAAAGAUUUUAAAGAGCUGAGGUUUUGUAGACCCGCAGGCAAGCUUUCAAUUGAGCAACCUUGAAUAUUCAAGUAUUUA
RNAcentral lists this long non-coding RNA (12203 nucleotides) under Gossypium barbadense (sea-island cotton). RNAcentral describes it as "long non-coding RNA (GBAR_LNC016821)". Lineage: Eukaryota; Viridiplantae; Streptophyta; Magnoliopsida; Malvales; Malvaceae. The record is from RNAcentral.